UACGUAGGGUGCGAGCGUUAAUCGGAAUUACUGGGCGUAAAGCGUGCGCAGGCGGUUUUGUAAGCCAGAUGUGAAAUCCCCGGGCUUAACCUGGGAAUGGCAUUUGGGACUGCAAGGCUUGAGUGCGGCAGAGGAGACUGGAAUUCCUGGUGUAGCAGUGAAAUGCGUAGAUAUCAGGAGGAACACCGAUGGCGAAGGCAGGUCUCUGGCUGACACUGGCGCUCAUGCA
Molecule: ribosomal RNA, 229 nt
Filed under: uncultured bacterium
Lineage: Bacteria
Description: partial 16S ribosomal RNA
Rfam family: Bacterial small subunit ribosomal RNA
Source: RNAcentral